RNAcentral lists this ribosomal RNA (1376 nucleotides) under uncultured bacterium. RNAcentral's name for it is "16S ribosomal RNA". It matches the Rfam family "Bacterial small subunit ribosomal RNA", at positions 28 to 1379 of the family's 1533-position model. The record is from RNAcentral.
GACGAACGCUGGCGGCGUGCCUAAUACAUGCAAGUCGAGCGGACAAAUCGAGAGCUUGCUUUUGAUUCAUUAGCGGCGGACGGGUGAGUAACACGUGGGCAACCUGCCCUGUAGACGGGGAUAACUCCGAGAAAUCAGUGCUAAUACCGGAUAACACGAAAUGUCGCAUGACGUUUCCUUGAAAGACGGCGCAGGCUGUCUCUACAAGAUGGGCCCGCGGCGCAUUAUCUAUGUGGAGAGGUAACGGCUCACCAGGGCGACUAUGCGUACCAGACCUGAGAGGGAGAUCGGCCACUCUGGGACUGACACACGGCCCACACUCCUACGGGAGGCAGCAGUAGGGAAUCUUCCGCAGUGGACGAAAGUCUGACAGACCCACGCCGCGUGAGCGAAGAAGGCCUUCAGGUCGUAAAGCUCUGUUGUUAGGGAAGAACAAGUAACGCAGUAACUGGCGUUACCGUGACGGUACCUAACGAGAAAGCCACGGCUAACUACGUGCCAGCAGCCGCGGUAAUACGUAGGUGGCAAGCGUUGUCCGGAAAUAUGGGGCGUAAAGCGCGCGCAGGCGGUUCCUUAAGUCUGAUGUGAAAGGCCGCGGCUCAACCGUGGAGGGUCAUUGGAAACUGGGGGACUUGAGUGCAGAAGAGGAAAGCGGAAUUCCGCGUGUAGCGGUGAAAUGCGUAAAGAUGUGGAGGAACACCAGUGGCGAAGGCGGCUCUCUGGUCUGUAACUGACAAUGAGGCGCGAAAGCGUGGGGAGCAAACAGGAUUAAAUACCCUGGUAGUCCACGCCGUAAACGAUGAGUGAUAAGUGUUAGAGGGUAUCCACCCUUUAGUGCUGUAGCUAACGCAUUAAGCACUCCGCCUGGGGAGUACGCUCGCAAGGAGUGAAACUCAAAGGAAUUGACGGGGGCCCGCACAAGCGGUGGAGCAUGUGGUUUAAUUCGAAGCAACGCGAAGAACCUUACCAGGUCUUGACAUCCCCUGGCAACCCGAGAGAUCGGGCGUUCCCCCUUCGACGGAGGACAGGAUGACAGAUGGUGCAUGGUUGUCGUCAGCUCGUGUCAUGAGAUGUUGGGUUAAGUCCCGCAACGAGCGCAACCCUCGUCUUUAGUUUCCAGCAUUCAGUUUGGCACUCUAAGGUGACUGCCUGCUAAAAAUCAGAGGAAGGUGGGGAUGACAUCAAAUCAUCAUGCCCCUUAUGACAUGGGGUACACACGUGCUGCAAUGGGCGGUACAAAGGGUCGCGAACCCGCGAGGGGGAGCCAAUCUCUAAAAGCCGCUCUCAGUUUGGAUUGCAGGGUGCAACUCCCCUGCACGAAGCCUGAAUCGCUAGUAAUAUCGGAUCACCAUGCCGCGGUGAAUAUGUUUUCGGGC